GAUGAACGCUGGCGGCGUGCUUAACACAUGCAAGUCGAACGAUGAAGCCCAGCUUGCUGGGUGGAUUAGUGGCGAACGGGUGAGUAACACGUGAGUAACCUGCCCUUGACUCUGGGAUAAGCCUGGGAAACUGGGUCUAAUACUGGAUAUGACUUCUCAUCGCAUGGUGGGGGGUGGAAAGAUUUAUUGGUCUUGGAUGGACUCGCGGCCUAUCAGCUUGUUGGUGAGGUAAUGGCUCACCAAGGCGACGACGGGUAGCCGGCCUGAGAGGGUGACCGGCCACACUGGGACUGAGACACGGCCCAGACUCCUACGGGAGGCAGCAGUGGGGAAUAUUGCACAAUGGGCGCAAGCCUGAUGCAGCGACGCCGCGUGAGGGAUGACGGCCUUCGGGUUGUAAACCUCUUUCAGUAGGGAAGAUGCGAGAGUGACGGUACCUGCAGAAGAAGCGCCGGCUAACUACGU
This 465-nucleotide ribosomal RNA is filed under the name uncultured bacterium. Its description in RNAcentral is "partial 16S ribosomal RNA". It matches the Rfam family "Bacterial small subunit ribosomal RNA", at positions 28 to 506 of the family's 1533-position model. The record is from RNAcentral.